GAUGAAGAACGCAGCGAAAUGCGAUAAGUAAUGUGAAUUGCAGAAUUCAGUGAAUCAUCGAAUCUUUGAACGCACAUUGCGCCCCUUGGUAUUCCGGGGGGCAUGCCUGUUCGAGCGUCAUUAUAACCCUCAAGCCUAGCUUGGUGUUGGAGCAUGCUACCUAAGCAGCUCUUAAAAUCAGUGGCAGUGCCCUUCGGCUCUAAGCGUAGUAACUUCUCUCGCUAUGGAACCCGGAGGGUACGCGCCAGAACCCCAAACUUUCUAUGGUUGACCUCGGAUCAGGUAGGGAUACCCGCUGAACUUAAGCAUAUCAAUAAGCGGAGGA
RNAcentral lists this unclassified non-coding RNA (325 nucleotides) under soil metagenome. RNAcentral describes it as "partial contains 5.8S ribosomal RNA, internal transcribed spacer 2, and large subunit ribosomal RNA". The stretch from base 1 to 120 matches the Rfam family "5.8S ribosomal RNA", at positions 35 to 154 of the family's 154-position model. The record is from RNAcentral.